CGAAUGGUGUUGUGCACCAGAUCAAGUGUCCACUUAGAACCCCGACUACUAAAAAAGACAAGACGUGUGCCGCUGCCUGCGGGACCUGUCAGAUCAACAAGUACGGUUGCGUGGCGGGAUACGCCGUGCCUGACGUCACAGACUGUAACCAACCCAACGAGAAUUGCUGUGUACGCUACUGGACUGGACCAUGUCCUGGAAAAUAGAACGACAACAUCAGAAUCCUAAAAGGCGUUGAUAAUACUUCUUUCGCUAAUAAAAGAAUGCUAUUCAA
Long non-coding RNA from Haliotis rubra (blacklip abalone), 274 nucleotides. RefSeq lists it as uncharacterized. The record is from RefSeq and is a predicted model, not a curated record. NCBI's taxonomy places the organism in Eukaryota, Metazoa, Mollusca, Gastropoda, Lepetellida, Haliotidae. The transcript is spliced from 3 exons.